This 406-nucleotide ribosomal RNA is filed under the name uncultured bacterium. RNAcentral describes it as "bacterial SSU rRNA". It matches the Rfam family "Bacterial small subunit ribosomal RNA", at positions 355 to 775 of the family's 1533-position model. The record is from RNAcentral.
CAAGGAAUUUUCCGCAAUGGGCGCAAGCCUGACGGAGCAACGCCGCGUGCGGGAGGACGCCUUUCGGGGUGUAAACCGCUUUUCUUGGGGACGAAGCAAGUGACGGUACCCGAGGAAGAAGGACCGGCUAACUACGUGCCAGCAGCCGCGGUAAUACGUAGGGUCCGAGCGUUGUCCGGAGUUACUGGGCGUAAAGCGCGCGCAGGCGGCCAGUCAGGCCCGACGUGAAAGCCCCCGGCUCAACCGGGGAGGGUCGUCGGGGACCGGCUGGCUUGAGGGCGGCAGGGGUCGGUGGAAUCCCCGGUGUAGUGGUGAAAUGCGUAGAGAUCGGGGGGAACACCCGUGGCGAAGGCGGCCGACUGGGCCGACUCUGACGCUGAGGCGCGAAGGCGUGGGGAGCGAACGG